UACGUAGGUGGCGAGCGUUGUCCGGAUUUACUGGGUGUAAAGGGAGCGUAGGCGGGUAAGCAAGUUGAAUGUUAAAUCUAUCGGCUCAACCGAUAGCUGCGUUCAAAACUGCAUAUCUUGAGUGAAGUAGAGGUAGGCGGAAUUCCUAGUGUAGCGGUGAAAUGCGUAGAUAUUAGGAGGAACACCAGUGGUGAAGGCGGCCUACUGGGCUUUUACUGACGCUGAGGCUCGAAAGCGUGGGGAGCAAACAGG
Molecule: ribosomal RNA, 252 nt
Filed under: uncultured bacterium
Lineage: Bacteria
Description: partial 16S ribosomal RNA
Rfam family: Bacterial small subunit ribosomal RNA
Source: RNAcentral